This 2384-nucleotide unclassified non-coding RNA is filed under the name Mizuhopecten yessoensis (Yesso scallop). Its description in RNAcentral is "l-threonine ammonia-lyase-like, transcript variant X1". Lineage: Eukaryota; Metazoa; Mollusca; Bivalvia; Pectinida; Pectinidae. The record is from RNAcentral.
UGUCAGUGUCCAGUUUCCAAUCGCAUGUGUGAUUGUCAGUUGAACUUCCGGUAAAGGGAGAUAAGUGUCCGAUACCCUUAUGGCACAACAAAACAACAUAGCUAUUUCCCUCACAGAUAUCGAAGAAGCAAGGAAACGCAUACAAGGGCAAGUAAAAGAAAGUCCACUGAUACAUCUGAAUUACAAAAUACCUGAUGCGAAGAUUUAUCUGAAAUGUGAAAAUCUUCAACCAAUUGGUUCAUUCAAAUUACGUGGAGCUUGCAAUGCAUUGGGAAAACUGUCAGAUGACCAACUGAAAGAGGGAGUUUACACAGCCAGUGCUGGGAAUUUCGCUCAAGGAUUGGCCUGGAAUACUCAAAAACUGGAUAUACCCUGUAAUGUGGUCGUCCCUGAUCAUGCUCCCGCCACUAAACUCGCGGCAAUAGAGAGACUUGGGGGUCAAAUUAUCAAAGUUCCGUUCAGCGAGUGGUGGAAAGUUAUACAAACACAUAAAUAUGAUGGGAUACCUGGGACAUUUGUACACCCUGUCUCAGACCCAUCAGUCAUUGCAGGGAAUGGGACAAUUGGUUUGGAGAUAUUAGAAAGUUUGCCAGAUGUCAAUGCAGUCAUCGCUCCGUACGGAGGCGGGGCACUCUCAUGUGGAAUUGCCUCCGCUGUAAAAUCGGUCAAACCAGAUGUGAAGGUCUAUGCAUCUGAAGUUGAAACAGCAGCUCCUCUCAAAGCAUCCAUGAUAGCAGACAGACCCGUGAACAUUGACUACAAGUCUUCCUUUGUGGAUGGAAUGGGAGGCAAGGCCGUCUUGGAGGAGAUGUGGCCAUUAGCUCGAAGCCUCAUUGAUGAUUCCAUCGUUGUCAGCCUGCAGCAGAUUGUGGAUGCUAUAAAGUUAAUGGCAGAGAGAAACCACAUGAUUGCAGAAGGGGCAGGUGCAGCCCCUCUUGCAGCUGCCCUGACAGGAAAGGCAGGAAAAGGGAACAUCGUGUGUGUGGUGUCUGGUGGCAACAUUGACACGGAUAAAUUGACAACAAUACUGCAAGGCAACAUACCACAGUGAUGUCAAACUUUAUGUUAAUAGCAAUUUAAGAUACAGCCAUACGGGUAUACUAUAUGUUUGAAAAUAUGAAUUGAUUUUUUUUUAUUUUGGAGAUAGAUGUCGAUUUCAAAUCAGAUACAGUAGAAUCUAGUUGUACUACCACAUUUGACCAGAUAUAUUUUAGAGGUAAAACAUGAGGGUAAAACAGUGAUUUAUAUAGGGAACAUAUUGAAGAAUCAUUAAGAAAAAAAAGGAAAUGAGACAUUACAAAAUAUUGGCUGUAAAAGGGGCAUUAAGUAUAGGUUUUACUGUAUAGUGAUGACUAUUGGGCAUUAUAACAAAGUUUUACUGUACAGUGAUAAUUAAUUGGCAUUAUCACAGUGGUAAUUAAUUGGCAUUAUAACAAGGUUUUACUGUAUAGUGAUAAUUAAUUGGCAUUAUAACAAGGUUUUACUGUAUAGUGAUAAUUAAGGGCAUUAUAACAAGGUUUGACUGUGUAGUGAUAAGUAAGGGCAUUAUAAUAAGGUUUUACCGUAUAGUGAUAAUUAAUUGGCAUUAUAACAAGGUUUUACCGUAUAGUGAUAAUUAAUUGGCAUUAUAACAAGGUUUUACUGUAUAGUGAUAAUUAAUUGGCAUUAUAACAAGGUUUUACUGUAUAGUGAUAAUUAAGGGCAUUAUAACAAGGUUUGACUGUGUAGUGAUAAGUAAGGGCAUUAUAAUAAGGUUUUACCGUAUAGUGAUAAUUAAUUGGCAUUAUAACAAGGUUUUACUGUAUAGUGAUAAUUAAUUGGCAUUAUAACAAGGUUUUACGGUUUAGUGAUAAUUAAUUGACAUUAUAAUAAGGUUUUACUGUAUACCGAUAAUUAAGGGCAUUAUAACAAGGUUUUACUAUAGUGAUAAUCAAUUGGCAUUAUAACAAGGUUUUACUGUGUAGUGAUAAGUAAGGGCAUUAUAACAAGGUUUUACCGUAUAGUGAUACUUAAUUGGCAUUAUAACAAGGUUUUACUGUAUAGUGAUAAUUAUUGGCAUUAUAACAAGGUUUUAUAUUACUGUUUAGUGAUAAAAAGUGGGUAUUAUAUCAAGGUUUUACAGAAUAUCCAUCUAUAUAUAUAUUCCCAUAUAUAUUUUUAAUUUGAUAAAAAUAUUUUUAUAGAUGUUGUAUUAAUAUAUUUUGAAGAAUACUGCUAUAUAAUUACUUACAAUUGUUAAAUAUCAAUGUUAAUGGUGUUUUAAUAUCGGGAAAAAUCUGCCUGAUAGCUAUGUUACCUUUGGACGAAGCAAUAAUAAAACAAGUUUUGGUUCUAUUUUAUAUAUGCAUUUUGUUUUGACAUAUUUUCAGUGAAAUAAAAUGUCU